RNAcentral lists this long non-coding RNA (1453 nucleotides) under Homo sapiens (human). RNAcentral's name for it is "HSALNT0354486". The record is from RNAcentral. Lineage: Eukaryota; Metazoa; Chordata; Mammalia; Primates; Hominidae.
CCUUGUCUCAAAAAAAUAAAAUUUAAAAAAAUACCUCGUGAGCAACGUUUCCUUCCACCAGCUGAAGCUGGCCUGUACACCUGCAGCUCACACCCUCCAAUUUAAACAUUUUAUCUUUCAGUUCAAGUCACUUCAAAAUAUCACUCUUCAACAUGGCCCCUUCAAACUGCCGUGGCUGGCUGGCCCUGGUAUGGGAGGCACGUGUGGAAGGAACAGGAUGUGGACACAGGAUGGGAGGACCUUUGUUAGUCCCAGGCCGGAGGGCCUCUCACUUCUCCUGGACAAUUGCCUGUCUCCCUGCACCUGACCCCACCUGCUUCUGCCCAGAAAGUCCAGGCCGUGACCACAGAUGCUGUCCCUCAGGGCAGUCUUCUCUGUUGGAACCUGUUCAUCCCCUCAACCAGAAGUAUGGAAUCCCUCCUUCCUGCCUGCCUGGUCCCUCAAGCCAAUGAGCUAAGGGCACAAGGGGCGAACCCAGGACUGAACUAGCCACCGGCCCUUAGGACGCUGGUCACCCACAGAGAAGAGGAGGGGCAACAAAACACUGUGAAAACUGUCAGGGACUUUCACUGUCUUCCAGACCAGUCUUAAGCUGGUGGCAUAUAGGCUUUCCUUGAUGAGGAUAGAGAAAUGGAGAAAAAUCGUGGGACAAGUUAAAUACUGCAGCUGCCAGAAUUGGGUUGGGAUGAAGAAAUACCCUUACUAAAUGGGAGAUAUUCUGGAUCUUCUGGAAUUCAGGUUGAUGGCAGUAAGAAACAGAAGAACACUUAAACCUUCCCUGAAAUUCAAGAUGACAUGCAUCCAAAAAAACAACAAAAAAAAGAUGACAUACAUCCAUAUAACAGGAGCCAACAGUGAUGGAAAUGAAUAUGUGAAAGUAGAAAAUUGUUGAACAUUAAAAUGAUGUUGAAUUUAACCACACCAUAGAGAUGAUAAAGUGCAGUUUCCAUGCUACAGGAAAUAAAUCCACAUAAUAGGAUUUCCAGGAGAGAAAAUCAAUACAGAAAUAAUAGAAGAAAACUUUUUGAGUUAAAGAAAGAUUUGAGUUGCCCAAUUAUAGGGAAAAAGGGAAUCAGGCAAAAUUAGGGAAGAGCUCCUUCUUGGACAUUCCUAGGGACAAAGAAUAAAGAGCCUGGUGGCCCUCAGAGUAAGUGACAGCAUUUAACGACAGAAGUCCCAGAGCAAUAUCUGAAGGUUUUAAGAGGGAAAAGGUUGUAACCCAGGGAUCCUUCACUCAUCCAAGCCACUGGCCGUAUGAUAUAACCACAGAAAGACAUUCUCAGCCUUGCAAGGAUUCAGACAUUUGCCACCCAUGUAUCUUUCCUGAAAAAAUUAUUUGUAGAAAUAGUCCCACCAAUUAAGAAGGGAAUCUAAAUGCCAGAAAUUAAAGAUGUAAUGUCAAAGAAAUAAUGAUAAGGUAUAAAGCCAAUAAAAUAUAGAGUUUUACAAUAAA